Molecule: transfer RNA, 75 nt
Filed under: Mycobacterium phage ScoobyDoobyDoo
Lineage: Duplodnaviria; Heunggongvirae; Uroviricota; Caudoviricetes
Description: tRNA-Lys
Rfam family: tRNA
About the family: Transfer RNA (tRNA) molecules are approximately 80 nucleotides in length. Their secondary structure includes four short double-helical elements and three loops (D, anti-codon, and T loops).
Source: RNAcentral
GCGUCCGUAGCUCAGUUGGUUAGAGCUUCCGACUCUUAAUCGGAAUGUCGUGGGUUCGAGUCCCUCCGGGCGUAC